CAGAGAUCCAGCAGCAGCAGAAAUCAGCACUAUGUACAAUAAAGUUGGCACAUCAGAUAUCAGAUACCAGAACAACCUGCCCCACUUCAUUGUCAUUGCUGUUGCUAUGUCUGACAAGCCAUGAUGGUGAAAAAUACAUCACAGAACAAAGAGGAAUCUGGGAGCACACCAACAGACAAGACAGAGCAGGUUACUUUAGGUAUGAAAUAAAGUCUCAACUUUCAAAGUUUGUAAUUUUUUAAGAAAUUUGGACAAUAAAUACCAUUUUGUGGCUCCAUUCACUAUCACUAUUACAAAUCUACAUUCCCUCCCUCCUCCAGGAUCUACUAGUGAGCAACGCCUUGUGGUGCCAUCACAGAGAGGCACAAAAUCACAUUCCAGAACAUUCUCUUUCACCGUUCCUGGCUGGUGGAGUGAUCUUCCCACUCCUGUCCUGAAUGCUGAUUCCCAGAUCAUUUUCAAGCGACAGCUGAAAACUCAUCUCUUUCGUCACCAUCUAACUUCAUUUAAAAAAAAAAACACCUUUGCUUCUCUUUACUUAUUCCCCUGUCUAGCUCAUACUAUUUGAACAAUGCCUGAAACUUGGUAUUAUAAGCACUCCCUGUGUCUAUUUACCUCUUUAAGAUAAAUCGUUUGACGUAUUCCCCAAUUGUAAAUUGCUUUGGAUAAAAAAUGUGUCGCCCCACCCACAGCACUUCUCAAUGGUUAGUGGCAAAGUAAUGACGUCGACACCAUGAUAAUGACGUCGUGCCAUGGUAAACAGGAAAUGCAGUCGAAACAAUACAUGGUAGUAAUACAUAAUCAUAUAAAACAAAACUGUGAACCCGUUAAUUACUUAUACAUGGUAAAAUAUAUAGUAUUAAACAAUACUUUGUACAUUUUUUGGAAAACACUUCAUUAUGAACAUUUCCAAGCAAGAAUCCAAUUACUGCCUUUGACUUGCAAUCGCAAUGUCAACGAAUAUAUUUUUAUUUACAACUUAAGUUUUAAGUUAUUUCUAUUCAUAUUGGUCAUUUACCACUUGGUCGGUUUUUUUUUUUUUUUAACGUUUUUU
Long non-coding RNA from Cyprinus carpio (common carp), 1054 nucleotides. RefSeq lists it as uncharacterized. The transcript is spliced from 3 exons. The record is from RefSeq and is a predicted model, not a curated record. Lineage: Eukaryota; Metazoa; Chordata; Actinopteri; Cypriniformes; Cyprinidae.